RNAcentral lists this unclassified non-coding RNA (262 nucleotides) under plant metagenome. Its description in RNAcentral is "partial contains small subunit ribosomal RNA, internal transcribed spacer 1, and 5.8S ribosomal RNA". The record is from RNAcentral.
UCUCCGUUGGUGAACCAGCGGAGGGAUCAUUACCGAGUUUACAACUCCCAAACCCAAUGUGAACCAUACCAAACUGUUGCCUCGGCGGGGUCACGCCCCGGGUGCGUCGCAGCCCCGGAACCAGGCGCCCGCCGGAGGGACCAACCAAACUCUUUCUGUAGUCCCCUCGCGGACGUUAUUUUUACAGCUCUGAGCAAAAAUUCAAAAUGAAUCAAAACUUUCAACAACGGAUCUCUUGGUUCUGGCUCGAUGAAAACGCAGC